GGUGGGGGAGGGGCAGAGAGAGGGGAAGCCAGAGAAUCCCAAGCAGCCUCCUCACUGUCAGUGCAGAGCCCGACGUGGGGCUCAAACUCACAAAACCAGUGAGACUGUGACCUGAGCCAAAACCAAGAGUGGGACGUUUAUCCGACUGAGCAAUCCAGCGCCCCUGGAUCGGUUUUAAUAAGCUUUUUUGCUGUGUCUUUACUGAAAGAGGAAGGAAUAUGCUGCAAAAAUGUUUAAGUCCAGCAACGAGCACAUUCCCCAAGAGAUGUUCUGGCAAGGGGAAGAAGGUCUCAAUAACAAGCUUGGGGAGAUAAGCAGGGGCCAGAUUAGAAAGGAUAUUAUAGGCCAUGCUUAAAAUGUUUAUCUCUAUCAGAAAAGCAACGGGAACAUAUUGAAGAGCUUUGAGCAGAGGAGUGGCGUAUUAUAUUUGCAUAUUUUAAAAGUUCCUUCUGACUAAUCUUGGAGAGUCGAUCAGAGGGUGACAGGAAUAAAUGCCAGAGAAUUCUUCCGAGGUUUUUUAAACAAAAAACGAUAAAAACUUGGGUUAAGGUGGUUAACAGUGCAGGUGACAGAAAUAAGCAUUUAAAUAUUCAGCGAAAGGACUGUGUUUUGGAAUGUAACCGUGAGCACCACUCACAUGUCAGAGGUCACUAAAGCCAUAGGAAUAGAUGAAACCGUCAAGAUUGUGUGAUGUGUAGAACGGGUUGGAGCUCAGGACAAGCCUCCACUAUUAAGAAUGGCAGAGGGGCAUGGGAGGCACGGUGGGGACCCAGGCAGAUAACCAGACUGUAGGUAACCUGCCCGCACUUGACCAUGCUUGGUGCAGCAGCCUGAUGACAGUCACACACAUGAGCAGAAGGCAGAAAUGGGGUAAGUAAAUCAUACCUUGGGAGAAGGAGAAAAGACCCAGAAGGAAAAGCAGACUGUUGAGAUGUUGUACAAACAUUUAAAUAGCACACAUAACCCCAGAGAUGACGGACAGGACCAAACCCACACGUGUUUUUUGUAGAUGGCCAUUUCUCAGAGGAAAAAGAUGGAUCUUAAUUGGAAGUCCUUUCUUCUCGGUCUCAUCAGCUUCUCUUACCUUCAGGUCAGCAGUUUUUGACGGGGUUAUUCCCACGGGUGUCAGAGAAAGGCUGAAAAACUCAUUGAAUUCAACAGCUAGAAGAAGGUCAUGAAUGGGGAUGGUUGCAGCGAAUGAGCAAAGGUUGAAGCGGGUGUCAGUGGACUCGCGAAAAGAACACUCUUAGACUCCCAUUUAUAGGACAGGGAGAAAAAUAGCUCUUAGCUAACUUUAAGAGCUAAGUGAGGAAUUAGAUUAGCAACAGCUGUUUUUCAAUUCUUGAAUAUAAAUAGCGUGACAAAGGCUGUAAAGAAGGAGAAGAUGAAAUAAUAAAGAGGGCCGAAGCUCAAGGAAUCAAGGGCACAUGGAUGGCACAGGGAGAAGCCAUUUCCCCCACUGACACUGACGAGAAGGGGUUGGCCAGGGAUAACAUGGGUAAGAGGCCGAGGUAUUGUCCACCCACAGCUUUUAUUUUCCCUGCGACGUCUGCAGGGCUCAGGCAGUACUCACUGAUUUCAAUGGUAUUCAUUGGAGGCUGAAAUACUAUUUUGAAUUUCAAAUGAGGUAUCCUGAAAUAAGUACGGGGGAGACAAAGUUGGCCAAGACGUUGUCCAGGACAGGAAGGGACAGAAAAGACCAGUAAAAUGGCGCCAUUUAAGAUCAUUUAUGUUCAAUACUUUGUUAAGAGAAACACAAUUUGAAAAUCUCAACGUAAAAUCACUGAGUUGCUUCACAUUCUGCACCUAUCUGAAUAGCCAUGUCAGAUCAUUGCUACCAUCUAUAAAUUAUUUUUGCCAUUUAAAUUAUUUUGCCAAAUUCAGAUGAAAAAAGAGAUAUUCCUUCGGUUCCUACGUCCUGCAGUCUGGUGAUCUGAGUUGAAAGGCAUGCACAGAUAAAAGAAUAUAAACAUUUACAAAGAAACAAAAACGAAGGAAAUAAGGAAGGAAGGGAGGGAGGGAGGGAGGGAGGGAGAAACUGAAAAGCAGCGUUCCUUAAAAAAAUAAACAUAGACGUUUAUAGGAUGUUUGUGAUAUUUGAUAUCAAUAUAUCAAUAUCAAUAUAUUUGAUAUUAAUAUUUUUGCCUCAUUGUGGCAUUCAAAACUUUUGACAUCCAUCUGACAGAUGAAAAUAACAUUUUUAAAGGGCUGACUGUGUUUUUUUCAAACAUCAGAAGCAACGGAAUUUAAUGGUGAAGCGCGUACUGAUUGAGGCUAUAAGACAGUUUUCGUUUUCAACUCUCACACUGAGCCUGUAUCCAAAGCCGGAACAGCUGCUUUGAUGAGAGUAACUCCAAAAAUCUUAGGUUUCAGGAUCAUCAAACAGAGAAAUCUUAAUCAUGCGAACAAAUCAAUCGUAACUGCAGCUCUGACACGUUCAUUUCAAAAUACUCACAACGAAGUCCUUCUAAGUGAGAGGCAAUAAAUAAAUCUCUGUUUGACUUGAAUGAAGUCUUGCUCAUGACACACGCUCCUUUUCUGCUGAGUAACUUUCCAGAUUAUAAAAAGUUUUCAAAGAUGCCGACUCAACCAAAGCCGACAUACAUUCAUAGCUUAAAAUAGAUGUUAAAUUUUUUACGCCUCUAAGUUCAAGUUUUAAUGAAUAAUACUGUCCCUUUUCAGUUGUUUUUUUGCAGUUUUUAUGCACAUGCUAUUCCAAGAGUCCUUGAAAUUAUAGUGUCCUAAUAACUAUUAGCUUUAUCAACCCUCACACCAUAUAUGUUUGAACAGAUCCGAUUUCCGCCAAACCUCCCCAGUUACUCGCUUCACUACGAUCAACACCGAUGCUCAUGCCCCUUCCUCAGGCCUGGUUUAUACUGUGAUGUGAAGUUACAGAGCUUCCUCCUCAAUGAUGGUGAAGAUGAGGCUGCCUGUUUAUAAGAGACAAAAAUUAUCAGCAUUUGUUGCAUGAUUCUGUGCUAAGAACUGAGCUAACUUUUUUACACAGAUUAGCAGUCCUGACGACAACCAUUAGUAGAAUCUCCAUUUCACAGAUUAGGAAAUCGAGACUUGGGUUAGUUACCUGCUUCUUGAGAGACACUCCUACAGAGGCUGUAUCCUCUCUCAUACCUGAUGACCCCACUGAAGAAAUGAAACCAACGAACCAACCAAACCAUAAGGUCCGUUCUCAUUCCACCCGAUAUCUGCACACAUAUGCUCAGUCCUUCUCUGGAUACAAAGAGAGAAGUUUCUCUGAUCCUUUUGAAACCCAGUCUUUCCACUUAAGCCCUGGAUCCUUAGCCCUCUCACUUUCUCAAGAAAUAUAUGCAGCCAUUAAAUUCUCUUCUGCAUUAUUUUAUUUUAUUUUAUUUUAUUUUAGAGAGAGAGAACAUGCAAUGCACAUGAGCAGGGGAGAGGGGCAGAGGGAGAUUGAGAGAGAGAAUCUUCAGCAGGCCCCACACUCAGCACAGAUCCCAAUGCAGGGCUCGAUCCCAUGACCCUGGGAUCAUGACCUGAUCUGAAGGCAAGAGUCAGACACUCAACUGACUGAGCCACCCAGGUGCCCCAUCUUUUCUGCACCCGUUUUUACUGGAUCAUUCCCAUCAGCAUACAGACCUGCUCUCUUACCUCCCAACUUUGCAGAAAUCUUCCUUGGCCUCUUAUUCCCCUCUGGCGAUACCAUCCCAAGCUUCUGUCCUUUCCUAUAUCAAAUUCUCCAGUGAGUUGUGAGUUGUCUAUAUUGAACACCUCAGUUUCCCCUCUUUCAUUCACUCUAGUCUGGCUUAUCACCUUGCAGCUUCUCAGACUCACUUAUCUAUAGUCUCCAUGUAGCCCAAGUGCAAUGGGUCUCUCGUGAUCUCAAUCUACUUGGCCUCUGGACCUGCCUUAGAAGUUAGCCAACAGCAGGAUUCUGGAGGAUUCUAUGUCCCCAGGAAAAGCCUCAGCAUCACGUGUAGUGGCUAUGAACAUAAACACGAAAUCUUUCCACAUAGAAUAUAUUUUAUAACUCCGUCCAGUCAUAGAUCCCGAUUUCCUUUUAUGCCUUUGUGAAAAGCUCAAUCUAAAAUCUACUAACCCAAGAACCUAUGCACCAUAAGAGAUUCUUGCUUUAAAACCCCUCUCAAAGACGCUCAACAUGUUGCAUACAUUCAAUCUGAAAACCAUGAUCAUGUUAAAUUCUGCCAACCCUCUUCCCCCACAGAGGCCGUUGUGUUUUUACAUCUGGAGACAGAGGAGGGUAUAUAUACAUUCUGCAAUCGAAUUGCACUUGGGUAACUACCCAGUCGUAGAAUUGUUGGGUCACAUGGCAUUUCUUCUUUCAAUUUUUUCGAGGAACCUCCGCACCGUUUUCCACAGUGGCUGCACCAACUUACAGUUCCCAACAACAGGAAAAACAAGAAAUACAUGCUGUCCUUUUCCUUGAGGAAUUCAUGAUCUAAUGGAAGACUGGACAUAUGCAAAAGCACUCUUUAAAUCCAGACGCUUAAGAGAACAGUCAGUGGUUCACUAAUUACUUCCGCCUACUACGUGAUUUUUCUUUCACAUACAAAUAAACAGAAAGCAUCACUCUCGGACGGAGGCAAAGCUUCAAGCAAAAACGUGUUCCCUUCUCUUGAAUCUAUUCAAAACCUAGAAGCUGCUCCCUGUCCUCAAGGGCAAAGUUCAAGAGGGUGAGAACCAUAAUGAUUCAUUUUUGUAUCCUAGUGGAUAAUACAUAGAUCUGUAACAAAUGUUUGCAGAUGAAUAAAGGAACUAACCAAGUCAUUAUUUUCAGUAUGAUAAUUGAAUAAUCUAUAGCGGAAAGGAUUUUCAAACAAGUUAAAGAAUGACCACCUGAUGUAUGAAUGAAGCGAGAGAGAUCGAAGGCAUAACAGUCUUGGGUAGAGGAAAUUCUCAGAACUUCUGAGAAAGUUCUUUGGCCGAUAAUUACUCUCAUACAUACAUAUCAGAGAAUAAUGUGGUGAAAUCUAAACUUCUCUGACAGUGGAGUAAAAUAUUUUGAGAUGCCAUUUAAGAGAGAUUCACAAAAGAACCUGUAAUUAUAAAAUGGAUAGAACUGUGUUACAGAAAAUCAGAGUACCUCAUGUCAUAUGGUGUUUUGAGAGUUGUAAAACCUUAAAAUAGUCACUGAGUCCCAGUAGGUGUUUUGGAUAUGUUGAGUGAUAGUAAUAGUAAAGAGAAUAGUAUAAGCACUUAAAUUCAGCAAACCUUGAGAAGUACCCGUUUGAAACCGUAAUGGAUUAAAGAAACAUUUAUCAAUCACCUGCGACGUGCCCACUCUGUAUAAAAUACUGGAAAUCGAGAGAUGAAUGAAACAUGGUUUCUGCCUCCAAAUGUAGUGGUGAGGUAAUUAUAAAUAAUUAAAUGGCAACACGGGAGGAGGCAGAGUGGAGGUGCUUUCAAAGCAUGAUGGGGACAGAGGAGGAUGAACUACUUUACUAUUGACUUCUAGGCUCUAACUCCCUCUAGAGAACAUAAGGUUUUCCUAGAGCUUUGAAGAGCAGGGGAGGAGUGGUUUUCCAAGCAGAGAAAACAGAUGUUAAAAAAAAACCCUGGAAGCAGUGUGUAUACAGUGGACUCAUUGUAUAAAUUCCAGUUUAGAACACACAGGGCGAUGGCCUCGGGUAAGAUGAGGAAGAUAGCGAUGUUAGACUGUGAACGGCCCCGUGCGUUAGAAUUUUUCUUGUAGGUGAUGUAGAACCAUCAAAAUUUUGAAGUAUGCCAUAGCCUAAAAUAUAAGAUACUUUAUUUUAUUUACUUAUUCGUAUUUUUUUAAGUUUCUUUAUUUUGAGAGGGGGGCGGGCAGAGAGAUGGAGAGAGAGAGAGAAUUUCAGGCAGGCUCCGUGCCGUUAGUGCGGAACCCGACGCAGGGCUCCAACUCACCAAGUGCGAGAUCAUGACCUGAGCCAAAAACAAGAGUCAGACGCUCAACCGACAGAGUCACCCAGGCACCCUUAUCUUAUUUUAUUUUAUUUCUAGAGAGAGGGAGUGCGUGCUCACGUGCACGCAAGUGGGGGAAGGGCAGAGGGAGAGAGAGAGAGAGAGAGAGAGAGAGAGAGAUUGCGAAUCUUAAGCAGGCUCCGCACUCAGCUUGGAGCCCCGUCCCACAACCCUGGGCUCAUGACCUGAGCUGAAAUCAAGAGUCGGACCAGGCGUCCCUGCAAUAUGAUGUUUUAAAAUAGCUUUUUAUUAAACACUGUACUUUGGAAACCUUAUGAGAACUGAACCGUUGAAAAAAAUAUAGAAGGUAGAGGUCUGAAAUGUUUCAGCAGCCCUGCCUCUGUCACUCCCUGGGAGGCACUUGGAGAAGCUGUAAUGUUAUCAGUUGCACUCCGGUGAAUAUUAAGAACUUA
Long non-coding RNA from Panthera uncia (snow leopard), 6353 nucleotides. RefSeq lists it as uncharacterized. NCBI's taxonomy places the organism in Eukaryota, Metazoa, Chordata, Mammalia, Carnivora, Felidae. The record is from RefSeq and is a predicted model, not a curated record. The transcript is spliced from 5 exons.